CUACGGGGGGCUGCAGUGGGGAAUAUUGCACAAUGGACGAAAGUCUGAUGCAGCAACGCCGCGUGGAGGAUGACACAUUUCGGUGCGUAAACUCCUUUUAUAUAGGAAGAUAAUGACGGUACUAUAUGAAUAAGCGCCGGCUAACUCCGUGCCAGCAGCCGCGGUAAUACGGGAGGGCGCAAGCGUUACUCGGAAUCACUGGGCGUAAAGAGCGUGUAGGCGGAUAGAUAAGUCAGGAGUGAAAUCCUAUGGCUCAACCAUAGAACUGCUCUUGAAACUGUCUAUCUAGAAUAUGGGAGAGGUAGAUGGAAUUUCUGGUGUAGGGGUAAAAUCCGUAGAGAUCAGAAGGAAUACCGAUUGCGAAGGCGAUCUACUGGAACAUUAUUGACGCUGAGACGCGAAAGCGUGGGGAGCAAACAGGAUUAGAUACCCUCGUAGUC
RNAcentral lists this ribosomal RNA (440 nucleotides) under uncultured bacterium. RNAcentral's name for it is "partial 16S ribosomal RNA". It matches the Rfam family "Bacterial small subunit ribosomal RNA", at positions 339 to 795 of the family's 1533-position model. The record is from RNAcentral.